RNAcentral lists this ribosomal RNA (432 nucleotides) under uncultured bacterium. Its description in RNAcentral is "bacterial SSU rRNA". It matches the Rfam family "Bacterial small subunit ribosomal RNA", at positions 40 to 465 of the family's 1533-position model. The record is from RNAcentral.
CGGCGUGGAUAAGACAUGCAAGUCGAACGCGACUUAUCUGGUUAGCAAUAACUAGGUAAGUUGAGUGGCGAAAGGGUGCGUAACACGUGGGAAUUUACCAAAAAGUGGGGAAUAGCUCGGCGAAAGCGGAAUUAAUACCGCAUGUGAUCGAAAGAUCAAAGUCGGGGACCGCAAGGCCUGACGCUUUUUGAGAAGCCCGCGGCCCAUCAGAUAGUUGGCGGGGUAACGGCCCACCAAGGCGAUGACGGGUAGAUGGUCUGAGAGGACGACCAGCCACACUGGAACUGAGACACGGUCCAGACACCUACGGGUGGCAGCAGUCGAGAAUUUUUCUCAAUGGACGAAAGUCUGAUGGAGCGACGCCGCGUGGAGGAUGAAGGUUUUCGGAUUGUAAAAUCGCGUCACUGCAGAACAAGGAUGCGUUUAUGAAUA